AUUGAACGCUGGCGGCAUGCUUUACACAUGCAAGUCGAACGGUAACAGGUUAAGCUGACGAGUGGCGAACGGGUGAGUAAUGUAUCGGAACGUGCCCAGUCGUGGUGGAUAACGUAGCGAAAGCUACGCUAAUACCGCAUACGAUCUGUGGAUGAAAGCGGGGGACCGUAAGGCCUCGCGCGAUUGGAGCGGCCGAUAUCCGAUUAGGUAGGUGGUGCGGUAAAGGCCCACCAAGCCAACGAUCUGUAGCUGGUCUUAGAGGACGACCAGCCACACUGGGACUGAGACACGGCCCAGACUCCUACGGGAGGCAGCAGUGGGGAAUUUUGGACAAUGGGGGCAACCCUGAUCCAGCAAUGCCGCGUGCAGGAAGAAGGCCUUCGGGUUGUAAACUGCUUUUGUACGGAACGAAAAGGCUCUGGUUAAUACCUGGGGUUUAUGACGGUACCGUAAGAAUAAGCACCGGCUAACUACGUGCCAGCAGCCGCCGUAA
This 493-nucleotide ribosomal RNA is filed under the name uncultured bacterium. RNAcentral describes it as "partial 16S ribosomal RNA". It matches the Rfam family "Bacterial small subunit ribosomal RNA", at positions 30 to 523 of the family's 1533-position model. The record is from RNAcentral.